UGAACGAGACUGAUAUGCUUGCCGAGGA
Molecule: small RNA, 28 nt
Filed under: Bombyx mori (domestic silkworm)
Lineage: Eukaryota; Metazoa; Arthropoda; Insecta; Lepidoptera; Bombycidae
Description: ovarian small RNA-7934
Source: RNAcentral